RNAcentral lists this ribosomal RNA (405 nucleotides) under uncultured bacterium. RNAcentral describes it as "partial 16S ribosomal RNA". It matches the Rfam family "Bacterial small subunit ribosomal RNA", at positions 28 to 526 of the family's 1533-position model. The record is from RNAcentral.
GAUGAACGCUGGCGGCGUGCCUAAUACAUGCAAGUCGAGCGAAGCGGGGACGGGUGAGUAACACGUGGAUAACCUCCUAUAAGACUGGGAUAACUUCGGGAAACCGGAGCUAAACCGGUUACUUAUAGAUGGAUCCGCUCUGCAUUAGCUAGUUGGUAAGAGAACGGCUUACCAAGGCUACGUUGCAUAGCCAACCUGAGAGGGUGAGCGGCCACACUGGAACUGAGACACGGUCCAGACUCCUACGGGAGGCAGCAGUAGGGAAUCUUCCGCAAUGGGCGAAAGCCUUACGGAGCGACGCCGCGUGAGUGAUGAAGGUCUUCGGAUCGUAAGACUCUGUUAUUAGGGAAGCGGUACCUAAUCAGAAAGCCACGGCUAACUACGUGCCAGCAGCCGGGGUAAUUC